This 433-nucleotide ribosomal RNA is filed under the name uncultured bacterium. Its description in RNAcentral is "partial 16S ribosomal RNA". It matches the Rfam family "Bacterial small subunit ribosomal RNA", at positions 29 to 507 of the family's 1533-position model. The record is from RNAcentral.
AACGAACGCUGGCGGCAUGCCUAACACAUGCAAGUCGAACGAUACCUUCGGGUCUAGUAGCGCACGGGUGCGUAACGCGUGGGAACCUGCCCUUAGGUUCGGAAUAACUCCCCGAAAGGGGUGCUAAUACCGGAUAAUGUCUUCGGACCAAAGAUUUAUCGCCUUUGGAUGGGCCCGCGUUGGAUUAGCUAGUUGGUAGGGUAAAAGCCUACCAAGGCGACGAUCCAUAGCUGGUCUGAGAGGAUGAUCAGCCACACUGGGACUGAGACACGGCCCAGACUCCUACGGGAAGCAGCAGUGGGGAAUAUUGGACAAUGGGCGAAAGCCUGAUCCAGCAAUGCCGCGUGAGUGAUGAAGGCCUUAGGGUUGUAAAGCUCUUUUACCCGGGAUGAUAAUGACAGUACCGGGAGAAUAAGCGCCGGCUAACUCCGUG